CAGUAGCCGCGGGAAUACGGAGGGUGCAAGCGUUAAUCGGAAUUACUGGGCGUAAAGCGCACGCAGGCGGUUUGUUAAGUCAGAUGUGAAAUCCCCGAGCUUAACUUGGGAACUGCAUUUGAAACUGGCAAGCUAGAGUCUUGUAGAGGGGGGUAGAAUUCCAGGUGUAGCGGUGAAAUGCGUAGAGAUCUGGAGGAAUACCGGUGGCGAAGGCGGCCCCCUGGGACAACACUGACGCUGAAGCACGAAAGCGUGGGGAGCAAACAGGAUUAGAUACCCGCGUAGUCCCUGUCUCUUAUAC
RNAcentral lists this ribosomal RNA (301 nucleotides) under uncultured bacterium. Its description in RNAcentral is "partial 16S ribosomal RNA". It matches the Rfam family "Bacterial small subunit ribosomal RNA", at positions 509 to 807 of the family's 1533-position model. The record is from RNAcentral.